GUAAGCAUUGUUUAAUGAGAAUUUUUUGUCUGACCACUUCUCUUCUUAAAGGAAAGUGCAUUCAUUUAGUUUUUAAAUCAGAUGCUUAAAGACCCCGGUAUAGUUUCAUUCUCAUCUCUUAGCUCACUAUAUCAAGGCUGUAUUCAAUUAGAGGGCAAUGGCUAUUUAUAGCAUUCUUGAAUGUAUAUCCACAAUUAUAACUCUGUGCAAAGGGCCAAGUGCAAGUUUUAUAUGGAACACAUUUCAAUAAUUCACAGAAUAUAAAUGACUGAGGAGUCACUAUAGGACGUAAAAGGGACUCUCAAAGAUAUGGUAAGGCUCUAGUAAUCUGGAAUAACUGCAUUGAUUCCAUAAAGUGCUAAAAUCAGUAUUUGAUCCAACAUGCUCUUUUUAAACUCAUAGGGUAAUCACCAGUGUUUGGAUUUCUCUAUUUAACAGUAGUAAGAAAUAAGACAGAUUACCUGGAUGCCUGCUGAACCUUUUAUUUUCUGUCAUGUUAAAUAUUUCUGUACACAAGCACAGAAAUAUAAAUAACAGAUUUUGGGUGGAGAAAUGAAUUUUCUAAGCCGGAGGAAUAUUACCUACUCAUAGAGCAGCAAGAACCUAUUAAGAUUAGCUGGGUGUAAGCCAUAUGAGCUGUGUCUGUCUGGGUUUUUUAAUCUCUCCAAAAGAUUUCUAUUUCCAAAAGUUUGUUUUUUUUGUUUUUUUUUUGUAACCUGUUGUCUCCCCUUAGAUAUAUAUGAGACAGUAUGGCUCACUCAAUUAAUCUAAUCUUAAGUCUAAUUAACCUAAAAAUAGAUGUAUUCAGUAGAUCCUAAUACAAGAGAAACCAAAUUAAAUGUGCAAAUAAAAAUAGAAAACAAUUGGUUGGCAUUUCAAUUUGCCUUUUUUCUUACUAGUUUGUAAAUAGCAUGUGCAUAGUGUAUAUUUGUGCUGUAUGUAUAAUGUGCUUCUAUGCGUUGGUGCUGAUCCCAAAGAUGAUUAUGUGCAGAAGUCCUACCUUUCUUCCAUAAAAUAAUAUAGAAAUGUCCAUAUGAGUUCAAAGCUUAGGGCUUGUCUACAUGAUUUACACUAUUCUGUGUGUGUGUGUGUGUUGUGGGAGGCAGGGGGCUUUGGUGUGUGGGUGGUAGUGAGACUGCAGUUAGGUUUUUAUGGUUGUUAAUUUGGAUUUCCACUUCAAAGUUAUAUGGCUUUUGGCAAUGAGUUCUAAUGUAUCUUUGUAUUUAAUUUUCUUAUUUUAUGGAUUGAUUCUGUGCCAUGAGUAUGCAUUUGGCAACACCAGGACAUGGAAAAUAUGAGAGACACAUUCACCACUAACCUUUCUUCUGUUUUAUUUCAGAGGUUUUUGCAAAUCUCUUCCUACAAAAUAAAUAAAUAUAUAUAAUCAAUUGAGGGCAAGCCAAGUACACAUUGCACAGUGCAGUGAUCCUUCUCUAAUGUUGCAGCUUUGACAAAGGGAUGAGGAGUCUUUCUUGAAAACUGCCAAGAGAAUUGUAAGUAAAUAUAUGUUCUAUUCUCAUAAAAUAUUAAUUGGUGUCCACUACUCCAAGCAAUAGUUUUGAAGUGUUUACAUUGCUCCUCUGAUUGCCGUAAGCCUAACCUCUUUUAUCCUUGUUUUAAUUUUGUGCUCCUCUUUUAUUCAGUGCCCUGCAAUGACACUAACACACUGGAUAGGACUUGAUCCUGCAAACAUUUACACACACACUUAAUUCUACUCGCUGCAUAAGUGUUUGGGAGCAUUAGGUCCAGGAUUAGAACACUGGUCUAAUUAGUUACAACAGCUGCACUUAAUAAGGGCUCUUGUAAAGAUAAUGCCACAAUUUGUGCAUAUAUUAUUAGUCCUAAUUUCAGUGAAGUUCUACCAGGCAGAAAUAUAGGCCAAACAUAGCUCAAAAAUAGGAACCGUUUUUUGGAAAGCUGAAAAUCCCUUUUUUGGGAAAAGUUUGAUCUCCAAUAUAUUAUGCCACAAGAUGAAGAGUGGAUAAAUUGCUUCUUUUUUUUUUUUUUUUUUUUUUUUUUUUUUUUGCUACACCAUAAGAUUCUUUGAAAUGCCUAUUAUAGGAUAUUUAAGAUAUCCCAAGUAAUAAUAUAGCCACUAUAACAAUGCCCUUAAAGGCUACAGUAUCACCAUUGUAUAUACUAGUGUCUUGGAUCAGUACUCUCAGUAGUGUAGUGCUAUUUUGAAGAAUGUUAUCCCUCCUGUUUCUGUUUUCUAUUUUUACUGCCUUCAUGAUCCACAUUUCUUAUAUUCCACCUAGACAAGGAUGUAGCUUGGUCUGUAUCAGGCUCAGCCGUAAUACUGAAGAUGAUCAUCUGCUUCAUGAUCUGUUGAUGAGGAUGGCACCAGUUCUGUUACGGGAAAUCUUCAAUACAAGGUGCAGAUUCAGAAGUGGAAUAAAGCUCUCUCCCCAAGGAUAGAGUUCUGAAUGAGGGUUUCUGGGAUCUGUAGUACCAGUAGCAGCGCAGAGCAGGAGCACUGUCCCGACUGUGUGGGGAAGGCUGAAAAACAGACUGGCUACCAUGCUUUGGCAGAUCUCUAUUGGGACUUAUGGAAGCUGUGGAGGUCAAACUUUGUGGGUUUCCUUGCAAGUUUGAAUCUAUUCAGCUUCACUUGGAAUUUAGUUUUGGCACCAAAACCAAAAAAUGCACACAAUCUAGAAAUGAGCUGAGCUCCCAGAUAUCCGAUAAAGAAAGAACAGUUCAUGCGAUUCACUUAUGCACUGACCUACAGAAGCCUGUUUUCAGCUGUCAUUGUAAUUGCUAAAAUUGUUCUCUUUCACAAAUGUUAGUUAAAAUUAUCCAGUU
Long non-coding RNA from Chelonia mydas (Green sea turtle), 2805 nucleotides. RefSeq lists it as uncharacterized. NCBI's taxonomy places the organism in Eukaryota, Metazoa, Chordata, Testudines, Cheloniidae. The transcript is spliced from 3 exons. The record is from RefSeq and is a predicted model, not a curated record.